ACUGAGGAUAAUACCUGAUAAGCGAUAAUGCCUGGAACGGUUUAUCGCAUAAAGUUUUAACGUUGAAGGAUGGGACUGCGGUGGAUUAGGUUGAUGUUAGGGUAACUGCCUAAAAUGCCUAUAAUCCAUAGGGGCUGUGAGAGCAGUAGCCCCCAGAUGGGUUCUGAGACACGAACCCAGGUCCUAAGGGACGCAGCAGGCGCGAAACCCCCACAAUGCACGCAAGUGUGAUGGGGGGACCUCUGGUGCUAGCACUACAAGUGUUAGCUUUUCGUCAGUUUAAAUUGCUGGCGGAAUAAGUGGUGGGUAAGACCGUUGCCAGCCGCCGCGGUAAUAACGGCGCCACAAGUGGUGAUCACGUGUAUUGGGUCUAAAGCAUCCGUAGCCGGAUAAUUAAGUCUUUUGUGAAACUUCAUAGAAAACUAUGAAACGUGCAAAGGAAACUAAUUAUCUUGGGACCGGGAAGGGUUAGGGGUACUUCUAGGGUAGAGGUGGAAUUCUGUAAUCCUAGAGGGACCACCGGUGGCGAAGGCGCCUAACUAGAACGGAUCCGACGGUGAGGGAUGAAAGCUAGGGGAGCAAAGGGGAUUAGAUACCCCCGUAGUCCUAGCUGUAAACGAUGCCCGCUAGGUAUUGUGUGUUUUUCGUGAACAUGCAGUGCCGUAGGGAAGCCAUUAAGCGGGCCACCUGGGGAGUACGGUCGCAAGGCUGAAACUUAAAGGAAUUGGCGGGGGAGCACACAAGGGGUGCAGUCUGCGGUUUAAUUGA
Molecule: ribosomal RNA, 768 nt
Filed under: uncultured archaeon
Lineage: Archaea
Description: bacterial SSU rRNA
Rfam family: Archaeal small subunit ribosomal RNA
Source: RNAcentral